This 270-nucleotide ribosomal RNA is filed under the name uncultured archaeon. RNAcentral describes it as "partial 16S ribosomal RNA". It matches the Rfam family "Archaeal small subunit ribosomal RNA", at positions 477 to 747 of the family's 1478-position model. The record is from RNAcentral.
CAGCACCUCAAGUGGUCAGGAUGAUUAUUGGGCCUAAAGCAUCCGUAGCCGGCGCUGUAAGUUUUCGGUUAAAUCUGUACGCUCAACGUACAGGCUGCCGGGAAUACUGCAGCGCUAGGGAGUGGGAGAGGUAGACGGUACUCGGUAGGAAGGGGUAAAAUCCUUUGAUCUAUUGAUGACCACCUGUGGCGAAGGCGGUCUACCAGGACACGUCCGACGGUGAGGGAUGAAAGCUGGGGGAGCAAACCGGAUUAGAGACCCGCGUAGUCC